CCACGCUCACAGCUGCCGGCACUUCAGCAGAGACCACCCGUCGCCUUCGAUUCUUCUGGACCCCUACUCUCUCCUUUACACAUACAUUUAGUCCAAAGGGAAAUGAAUGUCUCGCUUGGACUCCAGGUCAACUUUGGAGGCCCACUGUUCUUAAAUGACACGGUGAUGGUGUGUUUCCCUGGAAGAGCAGUGGUGCUUCUGAAUGUUUUUAAAACAAGCUGAAUUUUCAGUUUUCACCAUCUCAGUUAUAAUGUUCAUUUGAUGGGAACAGUGACUUGGCUUUUGGAUUUUUGUUUUUUUGCAUUCUCACCUUAAUUAAGCAAGUACCCAUAGAUUGCCCACUAGCAGUCUGACAAGACCGGUGAGGCUUGGUGCCUGCCCUGUGAAGCUCCCCUACAAGUCUGCGCGAGCUCAAGGGCAGGCCUUGCCCUCAAGGGGAAAUAAUGAGGCCUUUGGUAAAAUGCAGUUUCUCUGUUAGUCCCUCAGCCAGCCCAAAGGUGCAUGUUGUCUGAUCUCUGCCUUCAACACCCUGCCCAUGCCUGAUUCCUCAGUGAGUUGGAGGAUGAAUGAAUGAAUGAAUGAAUGAAUGAAUGAAUGAAUGAAUGAAUUGAUUGUUGAGAAGGAAGAAAUGUCCUCUGCCCCUGGAAGUUCUAGCUGGUCUAGGAAUCAAACUGACAUGAAGCAGAUUAACAGGAGAGAAAAACAGAAAACCAGUUUUAACUGUACCUACGCAGAAGCCAUAGACAUGAAUUCUGAAGACAGUGAGGAGACAGAUGGCAGAGUUGCUAAGAGGUUUGGACUGAGACCCAUCUGAUUUGACCACAACUCUGCCACCUGCCAAGAAUACGAUUUUAGCAUCCACACACAGCUAUAAAGGAAAGCACUGUCUGGGGAGCAAGGGGGAGAAAGUGCUGAAGAAGCAUCUCUGAAGCAGCUACGACGUGUGAGAAGCCUGUUAGUGCUUCUUAAAGACCUUAGGCUGACAUCCUUUCUGGGAACUAUAUACGGGGAACUGACAGACAACAUUUUGCUCAGGGCAAAAAGAGAACUUUUCUUCACCCUAUGCCCAGAGAACACUCAGCUCCAACACUAGGGAGAGCUGUGUUUUCUGUUCCUUGUUUAAACAAAGAAAUGAUUGAGUGUUAUCUUUAAACAGUAACUCUACCUCCUUCUCCAAUUUCAAUGACAAACGGCCAGCCAACCUGAAAGGACAAUGUGUAAGUAUUAAAACUGUUUGCCCGUGUUUUUGUAAGAGGAGUGGCUUCUCUAUUUCUGCAAGGGCAUGCCUGCUGCAAUGUUCUUAAAGCCCUUUAGCAUCACUUUUGACACUAGCUGCUGUCGGGUUUUUAGUUUCUAAUAUCUAGAUGUCAUACCUCCUGUUAUCUAUCAAAAACUCAGCUGAUCAGAGGCACUGGUGAUGAAAGUUUGUGUGAGGCAGGUCCUGGCACAAAGAGAUGGCAAAACCUGAGAGUGGACAGAAGCAUAAAGCAACACUACAGUGUUCGCACAUUCAGGCUUCCUAGAACGAAGAUCUUAGCACACUUGCCCCAGUAGUUACUAAAAGGAUUCUGCUCAUAGACGUGCUGUGAGGUGCUCAGGAUGACUUGACCAGCCUGGUCAUCAGCUUUGAAUGCAAAAGAUCUUUAAAUCUCUGUCUGGAUAGUCUUAUUAUUUUUAUAUAGGAAUCUUCAUCCUUGACAUUAUCUCCCCUAUUUUAAAAUUCAUAAGUGGGUCCAAACACUAGAAGCAUUAAAAGAUCAGAAUUGUUCUAAAAAGAUGACUUUUAGGAUCAUUUAUUUGAGAUAAUACAUGAUUGUAAUGAUGGAGGGACAGUUUGUUAUAGCAUCUGGCUCGCGGUGGUGGGUGAUGGCUGGUGAUAACAGAGUAGCUUCAUCCUUGGACAAGGUGCGGUACAUACAGUCUAAAAAUGAGCAUCAACAGUCCAUAGAUACUGAAAGAGAAAAUUAGUUAAUAAGUUUAUCCAUACUAACCAUCUUGAGGGAGAUAAUGAACAUGGUUAUUUCACCUGCAGAGGAAAUGGUAUGACUACCAAAGAUGAGAUUUAGAGAAUUUGCAGUGGUUAACAAACUGAUGAGUCAUA
This is a long non-coding RNA of Manis javanica (Malayan pangolin), 2101 nucleotides long. RefSeq lists it as uncharacterized. The record is from RefSeq and is a predicted model, not a curated record. Lineage: Eukaryota; Metazoa; Chordata; Mammalia; Pholidota; Manidae.